This 750-nucleotide unclassified non-coding RNA is filed under the name Hevea brasiliensis (rubber tree). The record is from RNAcentral. Lineage: Eukaryota; Viridiplantae; Streptophyta; Magnoliopsida; Malpighiales; Euphorbiaceae.
GUUAACCUUGUGAGUUACAAGUUUUGUUUAUAUUUUCUUUCUUAUAACUUACCAUGCGUUUGUCUCAGAAACUCUUUUACCAGCAGCACGCAAAUGCUCCUCAACAACGUUUGUAACAUACCAAGGAUAAAUCUUCUACCACCCACAUUACAAACUACGCAUAACACAGUCAGUUGCGCGUUUGCUACUCAUUGGAAGACGCUGAAGACAACAUAUAAUGGUACAAACAAUAUUUCCCGUCGGCGAAGCAUUGUGUUAUAACAGAUGACAUAAUCCGACGACACCACGAUCCAAACUUCCAAAGGGCUAAAAGUAUAACCUAACAUUAACCGAUUACCAUCUAUGAGAAAAUUGCAACUACCACAAGCAUAGGAAAACCGCAAUAACUGUGUACGUAUUCCAGCCAUCCCAUUAAACUGGCGGUUAGCACAAGCCACUUAGCGAGAUAAUUUGCAAAUGUUAUAUCUCAAGAGUAAAACACAAUCUGCUUAAAAAGUUGGAAGGAAAAUACAGAAAAGCUCAACCAAACAAACAUUUAGUGCACAAAAGUUCUUAGAUCCACUCCAUCACCUUCCCAAAUUACUAUAAAAAGAUUUUCUAGAACUUAUGAAUCUUGAUAAGAUCUCACACGAGAACAUCUACUCUGGAUUCCCAAAACUUUGCCACGCAACAUAUCUAGCCUAGGCAACAAGUGUGCUGGCAGUUGUUGAUUCAUAUUUCCAGACAGGAGGUAGCUUCUUUGUUUUCUUG